This 440-nucleotide ribosomal RNA is filed under the name uncultured bacterium. RNAcentral's name for it is "partial 16S ribosomal RNA". It matches the Rfam family "Bacterial small subunit ribosomal RNA", at positions 338 to 795 of the family's 1533-position model. The record is from RNAcentral.
CCUACGGGAGGCAGCAGUAGGGAAUAUUGCUCAAUGGGGGAAACCCUGCAGCAGCAACGCCGCGUGGAGGAUGAAGGUUUUCGGAUUGUAAACUCCUUUUGUUAGAGAAGAUAAUGACGUUAUCUAACGAAUAAGCACCGGCUGAUUACGUGCCACCAGCCGCGGUAAUACGGAGGGUGCAAGCGUCACUCGGAAUAACUGGGCGGAAAGAGCGCGUAGCCGGGAUAGCAAGUCAGAUGUGAAAUCAUAUGGCUGAACCAUAGAAUUGCAUUUGAAACUGUUAUUCUAGAGUAUAGGAGAGGUAGGUGGAAUUCUUGGUGUAGGGGUAAAAUCCGUAGAGAUCAAGAAGAAUACUCAUGGCGAAGGCGACCUGCGAGAACAUAACUGACGCUGAUGCGCGAAAGCGUGGGGAGCGAACAGGAGUAGAUACCCGUGUAGUC